AGUAGGAAAAUCUGAUUUUUAACAGCUGAUUUCUAUCUCUUUUCCAGUAUAUAAACAGACCAAAAAGGAAAGAAGCCACAAAAAUAGGAGAUAGAAGCCAAACCUCUGUCUUCAACCUCUAGAAGAACAAAAGAAAAGCCUUAACAACCUUCCAUAGGGGAAAUUUCCAUUCAUCCAACCAGAGUUAACAAAGACUGGGGAGAGCCAGGACAUGCCUUCUGUGAGUCUACUUCUAUCACUAAGGUCCAUAUUUGAAACACCUGAACAAGAUGACAGCCUAUGCAAUAAAAAGAAGAAGAUUCACAUCUACUAACAAGAAAGAAUUGGAAGAAUUCAAAGUUUUUAGAAUAAAAAUUCAGAAAUCCUAUUUCCCUUUGAACAGAGGAUACUUGAACUGCAAAUACUACUCCCAGAGAUUCAAGUACAUCAACAAUAUAUGUUAG
Molecule: long non-coding RNA, 443 nt
Filed under: Vulpes vulpes (red fox)
Lineage: Eukaryota; Metazoa; Chordata; Mammalia; Carnivora; Canidae
Description: lncRNA (ENSVVUG00000007110.1)
Source: RNAcentral